Molecule: long non-coding RNA, 520 nt
Filed under: Manacus vitellinus (golden-collared manakin)
Lineage: Eukaryota; Metazoa; Chordata; Aves; Passeriformes; Pipridae
Description: lncRNA (ENSMVIG00005017007.1)
Source: RNAcentral
CACAGAUCAAUUUACCAGUGCCAAAAACCACUCAUGUACUGUGUGUGCAUAGGACAUUUACUUGACCUCAUUUUAAAGAUCGCCUUCCAGAAAGACACUAAUGAAAGCCAUCAUAUUAUGCAGAUGUUCUACAGCUGGACUUGGUAGGAUACAAAACAGAAUUUCAAGGGUCAGUGGCACUAGGACAACCAGCAGUGCCAGAGCCCCCAGGCACUCUGCCAUAGAGACAGAAAUUAAGAUACUGCCAGUUGAUGAAGUGCACUAGCAAACAGAGCUGCAGAAAGCUGCAAUGACAGUGAAGCAUUUUAACCCAGUACACGAUAUACACAGCAGGUUGCUGUGCAGACACUCUGACUUACAGAGUUGAACUGAAUGGGACAAGAAAAUGCCACACAUUCACAAGGCGAUUAUUUGUGUCUGGCUGACUCCAGCUGACUGCAAAGUGCCCCUGUCAAGCUCUCUGUCAAGGCCGAGUACUGGUGCUGAAAAAUAAAAGGCAGUAUGUGAAAAAUUAUGAACA